CCUACGGGGGGCUGCAGUGGGGAAUUUUGGACAAUGGGCGAAAGCCUGAUCCAGCCAUGCCGCGUGAGUGAAGAAGGCCUUCGGGUUGUAAAGCUCUUUCGCAAGGGAAGAAAACUUAGCUACUAAUACUAGUUGAGGAUGACGGUACCUUGAUAAGAAGCACCGGCUAACUACGUGCCAGCAGCCGCGGUGAUACGUAGGGUGCGAGCGUUAAUCGGAAUUACUGGACGUAAAGCUGUAGCUGGGGGGUGAAAGCCCCGGGCUCAACCUGGGAACUGCGUUUGAAACUACAAGGCUAGAGUGUAGAAGAGGGGGGUAGAAUUCCACGUGUAGCAGUGAAAUGCGUAGAGAUAUGGAGGAAUACCGAUGGCGAAGGCAGCCCCCUGGGCUAACACUGACGCUCAUGCACGAAAGCGUGGGGAGCAAACAGGAUUAGAUACCCGUGUAGUC
Molecule: ribosomal RNA, 450 nt
Filed under: uncultured bacterium
Lineage: Bacteria
Description: partial 16S ribosomal RNA
Rfam family: Bacterial small subunit ribosomal RNA
Source: RNAcentral